RNAcentral lists this ribosomal RNA (492 nucleotides) under uncultured bacterium. RNAcentral's name for it is "partial 16S ribosomal RNA". It matches the Rfam family "Bacterial small subunit ribosomal RNA", at positions 29 to 507 of the family's 1533-position model. The record is from RNAcentral.
AGUGAACGCUGGCGGUAGGCCUAACACAUGCAAGUCGAACGGCAGCACAGUAAGAGCUUGCUCUUACGGGUGGCGAGUGGCGGACGGGUGGGGAAUACAUCGGAAUCUACUUUUUCGUGGGGGAUAACGUAGGGAAACUUAUGCUAAUACCGCAUACGACCUACGGGUGAAAGCAGGGGAUCUUCGGACCUUGCGCGAUUGAAUGAGCCGAUGUCGGAUUAGCUAGUUGGCGGGGUAAAGGCCCACCAAGGCGACGAUCCGUAGCUGGUCUGAGAGGAUGAUCAGCCACACUGGAACUGAGACACGGUCCAGACUCCUACGGGAGGCAGCAGUGGGGAAUAUUGGACAAUGGGCGCAAGCCUGAUCCAGCCAUACCGCGUGGGUGAAGAAGGCCUUCGGGUUGUAAAGCCCUUUUGUUGGGAAAGAAAAGCAGCAGGUUAAUACCCCGCUGUUCUGACGGUACCCAAAGAAUAAGCGCCGGCUAACUUCGUG